Molecule: ribosomal RNA, 468 nt
Filed under: uncultured bacterium
Lineage: Bacteria
Description: partial 16S ribosomal RNA
Rfam family: Bacterial small subunit ribosomal RNA
Source: RNAcentral
GACGAACGCUGGCGGCGUGCUUAACACAGGCAAGUCGAACGGAAAGGCCCUGCUUUUGUGGGGUGCUCGAGUGGCGAACGGGUGAGUAACACGUGAGUAACCUGCCCUUGACUUUGGGAUAACUUCAGGAAACUGGGGCUAAUACCGGAUAGGAGCUCCCGCUGCAUGGUGGGGGUUGGAAAGUUUCGGCGGUUGGGGAUGGACUCGCGGCUUAUCAGCUUGUUGGUGGGGUAGUGGCUUACCAAGGCUUUGACGGGUAGCCGGCCUGAGAGGGUGACCGGCCACAUUGGGACUGAGAUACGGCCCAGACUCCUACGGGAGGCAGCAGUGGGGAAUAUUGCACAAUGGGCGGAAGCCUGAUGCAGCAACGCCGCGUGCGGGAUGACGGCCUUCGGGUUGUAAACCGCUUUCGCCUGUGACGAAGCGUGAGUGACGGUAAUGGGUAAAGAAGCACCGGCUAACUACGUG